This is a long non-coding RNA of Myotis davidii, 1448 nucleotides long. RefSeq lists it as uncharacterized. The transcript has 2 exons. NCBI's taxonomy places the organism in Eukaryota, Metazoa, Chordata, Mammalia, Chiroptera, Vespertilionidae. The record is from RefSeq and is a predicted model, not a curated record.
UGCAUUGCCCACAGCGGGGAGGGGGGCGGGGAGGAAACUUAAGCAAUGUUCUCGGAUUGCUUUUGACUUCAAGCCCUUGCUCUCCAGUUUUUGUGUGUGUGUGUUUUUUUAUGUUUUGUUUUGUUUUGAAAUGUUCAGAAAAAGUAUCUCUUGGCGGGUUUUCCAUGUAUGAUUCAGUCUCUUCUUCUCUGGGACCCGACGUUGUUUGUUUAUGAGUUUUGUAAGCAUCUCUUUAAAUUUAGUUUUUGCAGGAAAUACUCCCCUUUGCCACAGGGUGUAGUUUACGGACUAGAAAAUACUGCUGGAGAAAGCUGCUAGUGGUGCUAGUGGCUUCAUUUUCCAAGAAUAGCAGUGCCUAAAUUUAGGCUCAGCGAUGACCAAGGAUAAGAAGUUUUUCAGGAUCAACAGCAUUUUGAGACCACUGUAGAGAGUAAUUUUAACAACCACGGAAACCUACAAACAGCCUGCAGGAUGGAGAGUGGGGGAGGGGAGUCGAGAAGUGAGAGGCAGGGAAACAGAUGCGUUUGCUAUUCUUCCUUGUACUGUCGUAUAAAACUUCUAGAACUGAAUCGUUUUCCUUGGAUGUGGUUUUGAGAAACAAAAGUACUCUGUUAUGUUAAAAAUGGAAAUACUCCACGGUAUGAGACAACUGACAUUUUAGUGUACUUGUAAACAUACUGGACUUAUAUUUCAUAUUAAAAUGGGCCUUUGGGGUUAUUGGAUGAGGAGGGUCCUCCAGGGGAUAUCUACUAUCAAGUUAUCUGCAGGGUAUCUUCUCCAGAAAGCAGACUGACUGUAAUAUGAACUAAUUUCCCCCUCUGCCCCCCCCCCUUUGAAUUAGCUUGUAAGAAUGCCUGAGAUCUGACACUUAUGGACCACAGUUAGCCAGUUAGCCAAAGCUCUUGCAGUGCUCAAAACAUUUUAAGGAACAGGGAAAUCUUUCUCUAUUUGCACCCCCUCCUUUUAGGAGGUCAACAGGGGUAACCUACCAGCUUCAAAUACAUAAUUUCAACUGGAAGGUUUAAGAUGCUCCUAGCUCCAUAGGAAAACAAUACAGGCCAGGAUAAGACUGCUUUUGAAGGCAAAAUGUCUUUUAGGUAAUAAUUUUUAGCUACAAGUUCUUUAAAAACUCAUUCAACGAGGCUAGCUGAAUCUGGGGGGAAGGGGAGGUGGAAGAGCUUUGCUAGUUUCUGUACUUUGCUUCCACUUUUAACUUCACUUAUAAAGGUUUUGGCUUUCAGAAUCAAUGACAUAAUAGGCUGUGUAGCCUUCUUUUGUGGCAGAUGCUUGAAAUGAAAGUUUCAAACGGAAUUGUUUUUGACUGAGCUGUCAAGUUCAGAGUUUAGUGUAAAUGAGUCCUGUCGCACAACUAACUUUUUUGAUAAAGGAAUUCUUUGUAGUUUUCAACUUGGAUGUUGCACAUUUUGAUGUCUAAGGCUACGGGGUUA